Molecule: long non-coding RNA, 242 nt
Filed under: Mytilus galloprovincialis (Mediterranean mussel)
Lineage: Eukaryota; Metazoa; Mollusca; Bivalvia; Mytilida; Mytilidae
Source: RNAcentral
AAAUUAUCUCCCUUUGGUGCAAAAAUGCCAUUUUUUGGCCUUAAAUUUGAAAUAUCUUUUUUAACUCGUCGGUGACCUAUAUUUUUUAUUAUUGUUUUCAAAUAAGCUGUACAUAAACUAAAUAAUUGUAAAAUUUAAGCGAUUUCUUAUAUUAGGUUAUUUUUUUAUUUCGAUAUUUCCUCUUUUUCUCCUAUUAGUUCAACAGAAAAAAAGGACAUUAACAAAAAUGUAUGCUUCUUCUA